This 303-nucleotide ribosomal RNA is filed under the name uncultured bacterium. Its description in RNAcentral is "partial 16S ribosomal RNA". It matches the Rfam family "Bacterial small subunit ribosomal RNA", at positions 507 to 807 of the family's 1533-position model. The record is from RNAcentral.
AGCAGUCGCCACGGUAAUACGGAGGAUCCAAGCGUUAUCCGGAAUCAUUGGGUUUAAAGGGUCCGUAGGCGGUCUUGUAAGUCAGUGGUGAAAGCCCAUCGCUCAACGGUGGAACGGCCAUUGAUACUGCAGGACUUGAAUUAUUGGGAAGUAACUAGAAUAUGUAGUGUAGCGGUGAAAUGCUUAGAGAUUACAUGGAAUACCAAUUGCGAAGGCAGGUUACUACCAAUUGAUUGACGCUGAUGGACGAAAGCGUGGGUAGCGAACAGGAUUAGAUACCCGUGUAGUCCCUGUCUCUUAUAC